UCAGUAAAAAGCACGUUCACGUUUGACGUAACCAAAGAGCAUUGACUUACCGGGACCCGGAAGAAAAAUUACAUCGACAUUAUCUCAAUUUACACGACUACACGUGGUGGUUACAAAGGUGAUAUAGUCUCGAGCACUAGUGUUUGGGGUUCUGCGGGAAGGAUCGUAACCAGAGCUGAUCAAGAUGUUAGUUCAGGUCUUGCUGUUGGUUCUCCACCUACACCUUGGAAUGUCCAUCAGUGGAGAAGUGGACAUGCCAGGAGACGUGGUGCUAGGAGGCCUCCUUGCUGUACAACACUAUGAAAAUGGGUCAUGUACUGGUUUGGACUACCGGUCGGUUCAGAUCAACGAAGCAGUGAGGUGGUUCUUGCGGCAACUCAACGACAGGUACUACAUUCCCAACGUCACACUGGGUUUUCAUGCUUUCAAAACUUGUGGGAACGCCC
Haliotis rubra (blacklip abalone) is the source of this 446-nucleotide long non-coding RNA. RefSeq lists it as uncharacterized. The record is from RefSeq and is a predicted model, not a curated record. NCBI's taxonomy places the organism in Eukaryota, Metazoa, Mollusca, Gastropoda, Lepetellida, Haliotidae. The transcript is spliced from 3 exons.